This 700-nucleotide ribosomal RNA is filed under the name uncultured bacterium. RNAcentral's name for it is "bacterial SSU rRNA". It matches the Rfam family "Bacterial small subunit ribosomal RNA", at positions 94 to 828 of the family's 1533-position model. The record is from RNAcentral.
AGUGGCGGACGGGUGAGUAACGCGUAAGAAUCUAACUUCAGGACGGGGACAACAGUUGGAAACGACUGCUAAUACCCGAUGUGCCGCAAGGUGAAACCUAAUUGGCCUGAAGAAGAGCUUGCGUCUGAUUAGCUAGUUGGUGGGGUAAGAGCCUACCAAGGCGACGAUCAGUAGCUGGUCUGAGAGGAUGAGCAGCCACACUGGGACUGAGACACGGCCCAGACUCCUACGGGAGGCAGCAGUGGGGAAUUUUCCGCAAUGGGCGAAAGCCUGACGGAGCAACGCCGCGUGAGGGAGGAAGGUCUUUGGAUUGUAAACCUCUUUUCUCAAGGUAGAAGUUCUGACGGUACUUGAGGAAUCAGCCUCGGCUAACUCCGUGCCAGCAGCCGCGGUAAUACGGGGGAGGCAAGCGUUAUCCGGAAUUAUUGGGCGUAAAGCGUCCGCAGGUGGUCAGCCAAGUCUGCCGUCAAAUCAGGUUGCUUAACGACCUAAAGGCGGUGGAAACUGGCAGACUAGAGAGCAGUAGGGGUAGCAGGAUUUCCCAGUGUAGCGGUGAAAUGCGUAGAGAUUGGGAAGAACAUCGGUGGCGAAAGCGUGCUACUGGGCUGUAUCUGACACUCAGGGACGAAAGCUAGGGGAGCGAAAGGGAUUAGAUACCCCUGUAGUCCUAGCCGUAAACGAUGGAUACUAGGCGUGGCUU